RNAcentral lists this long non-coding RNA (1517 nucleotides) under Vulpes vulpes (red fox). RNAcentral describes it as "lncRNA (ENSVVUG00000000230.1)". The record is from RNAcentral. Lineage: Eukaryota; Metazoa; Chordata; Mammalia; Carnivora; Canidae.
GAUCCAAUAUUUGGGAGUAUGCUUGAGAAAACAGAGCUUCAGGAAAAGCUGAGAAUGACCUCUCUUUGGCUGACUCAUUCUGACUUUAAAGUAAUAUGUCUUUACAGAACAUGGUGAGAGUUCAAAGUCUGCUUUUGUUUUUCCCAUAUUUCUUAGUAUAGAAGGAAAGCAAGACUGUAACCCAUGAAUUUGUUUAAUUGCUCCUUUAUUUCAAUGGAAUAAGCACUAUAUCCUUUUGUCAUAAAAGAAAGCGUGAAAAUUGCAUCGUUCCUUCCUUAUGAUCAACCUUGGUGUUCCUCGAGGCCUGCAAGCUGCAGAAGUGGAGUUAAGGUUAUCAGGCAGGCUGUCUCCACUAGCGUGGUUUUCAGGAAUAGCAAGAGGAAUGCAGAAUAUUCUGUGGUGACAGGACCACAUCACAGAAAGAAGGUUUGGAUUAGAAACUUGGACAAGGUUGUUUGACUUUUCAGAGCUUAAGCUGCUCCCAGGAAAAUGGUGAUAUUGCCUGCCUUAUGCUAUCUCCAUUAAGAUUAAAAUUAUGACUGUAAAACUACUCACAUUGUACUUAGCACAUAGUGGGCACUCAGGAAAUUUUCACAGGUAUAUGGAUUUAAGUAGCAAAUCAGUCUUCUCUAUUUUCAGGCCCUUUUCAAAGUGUAAUUUCAAAGUGUAAAUUUUGUUGUGUCCAAUCUCCUCCUCUUGAUCUUACUGCUAAAUUACCUUGGGACUUAAUGAUCAGGGCUUCCUUGCUACUUUCCAGAUCCCGCAUCUGUAAACAUGCUAGACCUUCAAAAUUCUGCUUUCCAUUUUUUAUCAUGCAACUUAUGACCUUGGUCCCACAAGGCCCCAUGGUUCUAUUCACUCCCACGCUUCUCUGUUCUUGCAGCAGGAAGACCAAACAGCUCCCUGGAUCAGAGUGCCUGUUCCACAUCCACUGUACCAGUUCUCCAAACUGGCUGAAUGUGUCAACACCUGGAAUGCUAAUUGUACAUAGGCCCUGUUGGAGACAGAAAGGAUGUGAUGAGGACGCCCUUAUCCAUUAUCAAUGGAUAAUUGAUAUCCAUUGCAGCCUAAGGGAAUGCAGCCCUCUGAGAGUUCUCAGGCCCUGCCUGAUUGUCACCUGAAGAAGGUGAGUUUGGACUGGAGCAUGGGGUUUCAUAUCGCGAGUAGCAGGCUGGGGCCAAAUGUAUGUUACUGGAACAGGGAGUGAGAACACUGAGGCGAUUAGACAAAUCCCUCCCAAGUACUGUCUACCAUGGGGAACCUUUUAUAAGAAAAGGGCUUUUACCAUGGAAAUGGGUUGCUCUUAUUUGUUGCUUGCAAAAAAGACAUAAUAAGGCUUUUGUAAAAUUAAGAACUUAAACCAAUACCAUUAUAUAAGUUCAGAGCUGAUUUAAUAUAGGACUGAGAACAUUUAUCUUCACAAAGUCCCUACUGACUCUGAGUAUGACUCUCUGUAUUCACAAUCUAGAUCCUGUUCUCUCCAGUUUGACAAAUUUAUGACACAGGGAUACCAGCUG